UCCAAUCAAACCAAGCCGACCAGGGUGAGCUCGGCCCAUUGGACCGAGCUCGACUGAGCCGACCGGCCUGCCAUGCCGGACCACCAGCUGUGCAACCACCCUUAGCCCCCUAAAUAAGCUCAGCCAUCUCUCCCCAUAUCUCUUCCAGCUCCGUUGAAGCUCGCCAUUACCGUGACUCUGCGGAACCGAAUCUCUUCAGACGCGCGCCUUUCCUCAUUCGGCAAAGCAACAACUGUUCCGACGGCUCUACCUCGAAUCGCCAUUGCUUCAAGUUUUUCCUCAGUCAUAGCUUGAGCUUCUUCAUUCGGUUUCAAUCAUGGAGAUGUCUAUGUUUUCCAGUUGCAGUUUGAUAGCCUCGAAUCUGCUUGGGAAGUCGAUCCUGCAGUUUCUUAUUAUCAUCACCUGUCUUCACUCUCGCUAGUUGCUACCUCCAGUGAGUGCCAAUCAUAGUUAGACCUCUGCUCUCUGGAUUUAUGAGAACCACGCUUUCGAGGUUGGGUCAUUGGUCUCAAUUUAUGUACAAUGGGGAGGACCGAAGUUCAAUUCAUUUCCACUCCUAAAAAAGAGCUCAAGGUGUGGUGGAAUAAGCUGGAUUGAAAAAGCCAAAGCUAUGCGAAGUUAAAGAUGGGCCGCCUCCUCCCAUUACUAGAUAUCAACAUCCACUCUGGCACUAUGCAAGCGACACUGCACUUUUGGUGUCACCGAACGUCUACCAUCACAUUUGGUCCAUCAUAUGGGUUGACGUGGGAUUGCCAAAGUGGAUUCCCUAUCAUUGUGUUGCUUGGUACAUGAAUUUCGAUGGUGAGUUGGUCAGAUCAUUGAGAGGCUUUGAUGGCAAAAGUGAUGAGUCGACGGGUGAGGUUGUCAAUCUGGAGCGGAAAGCUUGACUUUUGUACAGGCAAGCCUUUGGGCGAAGAAGAGUAGUGUCACUAUAGGUGACCCUAACCCUUUCCCGGGUCUUUUAUGUUUUGUGGUAGUUUUUGGAUGAUGUAUUAAUAAAGUAAUACUGAUGUGAAUAUAAUGAGAUAUAUGUAUAAUAUUUAAAUUGUACGACUUCCUA
Syzygium oleosum is the source of this 1060-nucleotide long non-coding RNA. RefSeq lists it as uncharacterized. Lineage: Eukaryota; Viridiplantae; Streptophyta; Magnoliopsida; Myrtales; Myrtaceae. The transcript has 3 exons. The record is from RefSeq and is a predicted model, not a curated record.